This 843-nucleotide ribosomal RNA is filed under the name uncultured bacterium. Its description in RNAcentral is "bacterial SSU rRNA". It matches the Rfam family "Bacterial small subunit ribosomal RNA", at positions 85 to 935 of the family's 1533-position model. The record is from RNAcentral.
GGAGCUCCCCGUGGCGAAUGGGUGAGUAACACGUAGGUGACCUACCCCGAAGUGUGGAAUAACAGCCCGAAAGGGCUGCUAAUACCGCAUGCGGCCUCCGGAGUUAGAGGUCCGGAGUCCAAAGGUCGCGCAAGCGGCCGCUUUGGGAGGGGCCUGCGGUCCAUCAGCUAGCUGGUAGGGUAACGGCCUACCAGGGCGAUGACGGAUAGGGGGCCUGAGAGGGUGAUCCCCCACACUGGCACUGAAACACGGGCCAGACACCUACGGGUGGCAGCAGUAGGGAAUAUUGCCCAAUGGACGACAGUCUGAGGCAGCAACGCCGCGUGCGCGAUGAAGGCCUUCGGGUUGUAAAGCGCUUUUCGGGGGGAUGAGAACGGACAGUACCCCCGGAAUAAGCCACGGCUAACUACGUGCCAGCAGCCGCGGUAAGUCGUAGGUGACGAGCGUUAUCCGGAUUUACUGGGCGUAAAGCGCGUGUAGGCGGUUCGGCAAGUCGGGCAUGAAAGCUCCUGGCUCAACUGGGAGAGGUUGCCCGAUACUGCCGAACUCGAGGGCAGGAGAGGAAGGUGGAAUUCCGGGUGUAGUGGUGAAAUGCGUAGAGAUCCGGAGGAACACCAGUGGCGAAAGCGGCCUUCUGGCCUGCUCCUGACGCUCAGACGCGAAAGCCAGGGUAGCGAACGGGAUUAGAAACCCCGGUAGUCCUGGCUGUAAACGAUGUCCACUAGGUGUGGGUGGUCUAAACCCCAUCCGUGCCGAAGCUAACGCGUUAAGUGGACCGCCUGGGGACUACGGCCGCAAGGCUAAAACUCAAAGGAAUUGACGGGGGGCCCGCACAAGCAGCGG